This 346-nucleotide ribosomal RNA is filed under the name uncultured bacterium. Its description in RNAcentral is "bacterial SSU rRNA". It matches the Rfam family "Bacterial small subunit ribosomal RNA", at positions 446 to 793 of the family's 1533-position model. The record is from RNAcentral.
UGUCGUUAAUAGCGGCAUUUCUUGACGUUAGCUGCAGAAGAAGCACCGGCUAACUCCGUGCCAGCAGCCGCGGUAAUACGGAGGGUGCGAGCGUUAAUCGGAAUUACUGGGCGUAAAGCGCAUGCAGGUGGUUUGUUAAGUCAGAUGUGAAAGCCCCGGGGCUCAACCUCGGAACUGCAUUUGAAACUGGCAAACUAGAGUACUGUAGAGGGGGUAGAAUUUCAGGUGUAGCGGUGAAAUGCGUAGAGAUCUGAAGGAAUACCAGUGGCGAAGGCGGCCCCCUGGACAGAUACUGACACUCAGAUGCGAAAGCGUGGGGAGCAAACAGGAUUAGAUACCCUGGUAG